UACGGGGGGGGCAAGCGUUGUUCGGAAUUACUGGGCGUAAAGGGCGCGUAGGCGGCUCGAUAAGUCAGCUGUGAAAACCAUGGGCUUAACUCAUGGCCUGCAGUUGAGACUGUCGGGCUGGAGUGUGGGAGAGGAGAGUGGAAUUCCUGGUGUAGCGGUGAAAUGCGUAGAUAUCAGGGGGAACACCGGUGGCGAAGGCGGCUCUCUGGACCACAACUGACGCUGAGGCGCGAAAGCUAGGGGAGCAAACAGG
RNAcentral lists this ribosomal RNA (253 nucleotides) under uncultured bacterium. RNAcentral describes it as "partial 16S ribosomal RNA". It matches the Rfam family "Bacterial small subunit ribosomal RNA", at positions 524 to 776 of the family's 1533-position model. The record is from RNAcentral.